Balaenoptera musculus (blue whale) is the source of this 112-nucleotide long non-coding RNA. RefSeq lists it as uncharacterized. Lineage: Eukaryota; Metazoa; Chordata; Mammalia; Artiodactyla; Balaenopteridae. The record is from RefSeq and is a predicted model, not a curated record. The transcript has 3 exons.
GAUAUCAGAAAUUGAUAACAAAAGGAAAUUUGGUAAAUUCACAAGUAUGUGAAAUUUAAACAACACACUCCUAAAUAACCAAGGGGUAGGGGGCUUCCCUGGUGGCGCAGUG